This 73-nucleotide transfer RNA is filed under the name Canis lupus familiaris (dog). It matches the Rfam family "tRNA". From Rfam's summary of the family: Transfer RNA (tRNA) molecules are approximately 80 nucleotides in length. Their secondary structure includes four short double-helical elements and three loops (D, anti-codon, and T loops). Further hydrogen bonds mediate the characteristic L-shaped molecular structure. tRNAs have two regions of fundamental functional importance: the anti-codon, which is responsible for specific mRNA codon recognition, and the 3' end, to which the tRNAs corresponding amino acid is attached (by aminoacyl-tRNA synthetases). tRNAs cope with the degeneracy of the genetic code in two manners: having more than one tRNA (with a specific anti-codon) for a particular amino acid; and 'wobble' base-pairing, i.e. permitting non-standard base-pairing at the 3rd anti-codon position. The record is from Rfam by way of RNAcentral. Lineage: Eukaryota; Metazoa; Chordata; Mammalia; Carnivora; Canidae. RNAcentral also lists the same sequence under 1 other name.
GCCUGGCUGGCUCAGUUGGUAGAGCAUGCAACUCUUAAUCUCAGGGUGGUGAGUUCAAACCCCAUGUUAGGUA